CCCUAGACUAGUGACCUCCUUAAAAUGUCAUCAAUGUGACAGACUCCUGACUCUUUGUAGGUUUUAUCUUCCACUAUCUGGUACAAGUGUGUCUUAUGAAGGCAUCCAGAGUACUUGUCAUUUUCUGCCCGCCAGUUGGAAUUAACAUUAUGACUCAUAUAAGGGACUAAUAUAUCAUACUAUGGGUUGCCAAGGCUGCCGUUUCUGGCCCUGUUACAGGGUGGGUCUAUCGGGGCUAUCAACACAUACGCUGGGAAAACUGGGAGCAAGAGCAGGGAGCAGAUGUGGAGCCAGACACCAGAGCAGCACGGAUAAGCAAAUGACUCAAACUGCAACCAAGUGAGGGGCACAGCCAGGAAGGUGGCCGGAGUCCUGACUCCAGGACAGCAAACACAGUGGCAAUGUUGGAACAAAAUGAUGGGACAGACCACCGAGUGCUCCAGGAUUCAAAUCCUAAAGAAGUCAACAGAUGGAGGAAGGACCAUGAUCUCCUCCUCUGGAUCAUGGCUCCCACACUUCAUUCUCUACUCCAUGCAUCAAGAUAAUAGAGUGGGCUUCCCCACGCCAGCACCCUUUUUCAGGAAAAUUCCAGUCUCCUUUGGAAGAAUGACAAUGCUACAGAAAAGCACAUGGAUUUGCAGCUUCAUGGACAUCCCGUGUGAGGGUGACAGCUCUUUACUCUCAAUGGAGGAAAGUGAAGCCAGGCUUACUGAGAAAAAAAACAACCCUCAGAAAUCAAAAUCAGACAGCUAUGCCCGGUCUGGCUGCCCUGGAGCGGGAAGACCCGAACCUUGGCAGGGCUGCCUGCUGUGCUGACCCGCCUGAUAUCACGAAGAGAAGUGAUUUUCCGAUCCUGCAUCCGGUACAGCUGUGCGGACUCUGCUCUUCCUACCAUUCCACCACGAAAUUAAAAAGCAAUUUUCUUUUGAAGUUCUGGGGUUUUUUUUGUUUUUUGUUUUUUUCAUUUAAGAUUACACUUUGAGGUCAGAGAAUGAGACAUAAGGAAUUCACAAAC
RNAcentral lists this long non-coding RNA (1015 nucleotides) under Cercocebus atys (sooty mangabey). RNAcentral's name for it is "lncRNA (ENSCATG00000045756.1)". Lineage: Eukaryota; Metazoa; Chordata; Mammalia; Primates; Cercopithecidae. The record is from RNAcentral.